AAAAAAGGCAUCAACACAAACGCCUGAAACUUCAAGAGCAUCCCAGAUUCCAGACCACAACACAGCAGGAUUCAAACACCUUUCCCAUGGGAUUAAAGAGCCACCUCGGAGCAGUAUGACUGUCCUAUGGAAUAGUGUGAUUGUGCAGUGCCUUUCGUAGACUGGACAAACCUCUGAGAAGAUCCCAGCUAUCUCAAGUUUAAUUGUGUAUGGAGUCAGUCGAGUUGACAGGUCUCCAGGGUAUUUCCACUGGCACGAGCGAGGUGAAUGACAGUCUUUGCAAGUCCACCUGUGAGUGUUUCUGAAGAGAGAAUGGAUGAGGGGUGGGUGGUCACUGCACUACUCGGUUUGUGUAGAUGAGCGCUUGUGUGCGUCUUGGCGAGCCAGCUCCCAUGCUUGGUAAAAAUCACCAAAUUUUUCACUUGAGUGGCUCUCUUUGGGCAGCCCCCUCCCAGCGACCCCUUCAGAGUAAAAUUCCUCUAGUGAGUGUUAGGACUGCACUCACAUUGCCCCCCCCACUCCCCCUGCACACACCAAGGAGCAUUGAAAAUGCAUUAACACCAAAUCAAUGGAAAACAGGGGAAAAAAGGCAAAAAGAGAGAGGAGGAAAAAAAUCUCCUUAGCAACAUAAUCUAGAUGGCCUCAUGAAAGGAGAGGGGUAAGUGAAAAGGGGGCAAGAAGGAGGGAAACGUGGAACGAGAAAGGGGGUGGCUGAGCAUUUAGUGCAGAAUAAGAGACUGAACGCUGAGAGGUCUUGGACACAGACAGCUACAAAAUAGAGAAUUAACACAAGAGAAACUGUUCCCAUUUACCACCAGGGCAAAAGCGACUAU
This is a long non-coding RNA of Triplophysa rosa, 833 nucleotides long. RefSeq lists it as uncharacterized. The transcript is spliced from 3 exons. NCBI's taxonomy places the organism in Eukaryota, Metazoa, Chordata, Actinopteri, Cypriniformes, Nemacheilidae. The record is from RefSeq and is a predicted model, not a curated record.